This is a long non-coding RNA of Neopelma chrysocephalum (saffron-crested tyrant-manakin), 545 nucleotides long. RefSeq lists it as uncharacterized. The transcript is spliced from 3 exons. The record is from RefSeq and is a predicted model, not a curated record. NCBI's taxonomy places the organism in Eukaryota, Metazoa, Chordata, Aves, Passeriformes, Pipridae.
UCAGGAAGAUCCUUGGAGAGACAAUUCCCGCUCUCCGCCCACCUCUGCCUUCCAGUCUCCAAGAAAAAGCAGCGCCAAUGGAUCGGCCCCACAGGCCUCAACCAGACGGUCUCCUUCCACCGCUCCAGCUCUGCUGCUCCGAGGUCUCGGGGACAGGGAGGGGACAAUGACUACACCGUGACCCCGCCCAAGAGCUCCCAGCUCUCCGCUUAUCCAGCCCUGGAAGGAGCGCUCCGACAUUCCAACCCCCCGGAGAACUCCUCGGACAGCGACUAUGACCUGCGCUCUGCCCGCAGGGUGUGAUUCCCAAAGGAUUCCCAAAGGAACCGUUCCCGUCUCCCGGCUCAGCUGUAGGGGGAUCCCAGCGUUCCAGGGAGAAAAAGAGGAGUUCUGGGGGUUCUUAAGGUAUUUAUACGGAUUUAGGAGGCCUUUUGGAGAGGGAUCAUCAGGUUUUCCAUGGCUCCAAACCCAUGGAUAAAGGAAAGGGAUUCAAGUCCAGGGAGGGUGGGAAUACUGGGAAGGAAUCCAAGAUAUUUAAUAUCCAA